Molecule: long non-coding RNA, 2066 nt
Organism: Bolinopsis microptera
Lineage: Eukaryota; Metazoa; Ctenophora; Tentaculata; Lobata; Bolinopsidae
Exons: 3
Source: RefSeq, a predicted model, not a curated record
AAAAACCCCAAACUGACAUUGACAUUAAUUGACAUUAAUUGACAUUAAUUGACAUUAAUUGACAUUAAUUGACAUUAAUUUGUCUUGAAAUUUGAGAUUAUCAUUAUUCGAUAAAUAUUCAAGAUAUUCACGUCUAUGUAAGUUAGACCGGUUCAAAAAAACAAAAUGUCCUUGAAUAAUUAUGAGUAUGUUCUUAUCUGUUGAUUCUUAGGUUCAAAGACCACCAAAAAAAAUUUCAGCUCCCAACUCUUCCAUCUUCGGUCCCCACCGGCCACGCCCAUAUUUUAUUGGUUUCUUAUACAGGUAAAAUAUCUAGAAUCGGCUUUUUUAGUAUGAAGGAGUAAUGUUAGCUGUUUAAGAUUCGUUAUUCAAAUAUAAAUGUCAUGAAGGCAUUUCGUUUAAUGUGGGUUUUAAGUUCUGAUGAUGUUGAGAACCACGCCCUUGGAUGGCCACGUCCAUUUAAGAAAAUUUAAUUUCGGAAAACCGUAUUAUUUUAGUUUUAUUAUUUAAUGAUCUGAAUUUUUUCACAUUUCACAUUUCCAUAUGUGAUAGUAGUGAAUAAAUUGAUGAUAUAAACGUUCUAAAGUGCUAAAAAUAUGGUAGAACUACAUAAUCUCUGGUCGAAAAAUAUCGUGUCAAUUAAUGUCAGUAUUCCAAAAUUUUGCAAAACUGACAUUGACAUUAAUUGACAUUAAUUGACAUUAAUUGACAUUAAUUGACAUUAAUUGACGUUGCAUCACCCCCUGUGUGUGUCUGUGUUUAUGCUGUGUCUGUGUGUCUAUGUCUGUAUGUGUUUGUGGGUGUGUGUAUCUGUCUGUCUGUCUGUCUGUCUGUGUGUGUGUCUGUCUGUGUGUGUGUGUGUGUGUGUGUGUGUGUGUGUGUGUGUGUGUGUGUGUGUGUGUGUGUGUGUGUGUGUGUGUGUGUGUGUGUGUGUGUGUGUGUUUGUGUGUGUUUGUGUGUGUGUUCUUUCAUAGAAGUUGUUAUUUCCAAGAUAUGAAGUUCGAAAAGCUAGCAUUUAGUAAUAGACGAAUUUUGCAGCUGAUAUCAGAAUCGAAAUGAUGAUGGUACUACACGAGAUGCUCAUGGAAAAGGUAUCAGUUUGCUUUCCUCCUCCCACGAGCAGUACAAAGUGUGGGUUCAACUUUAAUCUGAUAGAAGAUAUCGUAUGCGGAACCCAAGCCCGGCUAUGUCUGUACAUAAUAACGAAAGAAACCGGUUAUGCUGCGAGGGCGUUUAGCUCGAUAGAUGUUGAAAAUGCCCACAGCAUUAUAAAUCAUUUGGACCGCCGCGGGGUCCAAAACUCCUCAAUUGAAGAGCUUAGUAGACAUGUCAGCAACCUACAGAGACUUCAAAUUCUCAGGAAAACCUCUCUAGGACGGAAGCUUUAUACUCCGACAUCCACAAUUUACCACGCCCCUGAGAUCGACAAAGGUCUUUCUGAUAGAUUGACUUCCAGCCAAUUCGAUCUAUCGAAGCCGAGUGGGAAGAACAAAGAACUGAAACCCAUGGUCGCAACGAUGCUCCUCGCGGACAAGGGAGGGUUAGGGCCAUCGGUGGUCACAAGACUGCAGAAUAUUUAUUUUUUAAGCGUUGAGGUUGUCACGAAAGCGUACUGUAACGGGACUGUAUCAGAUUUGAGUGAUUUGAUUUUGUGAUUCGCAGUUCACGUGAUUUUAUUGUGAUCUUAGACUGUAAAAACUAUAAAGGUUCAAGUUGAACUAUCGUCGCCAUGAUUAUGUAUUUUGGAACUGUUCACGUUGAAAUUGCUUCGUUAAUCAGCAGUCUUCCUUGGUUACCUUCUACUGUGUAAUGCAGCUACGAUCAACGAUACUUAGCUAGUACAUUCAUAGUAACUGCACUGAGAAGAGUAAAAAAUUUGAGCUUUGACGGAAUAACAUCUCCUUGUUUUUAGAUACGGUUACUAUUCUAGUGAGGGGUUCAUAGCUGACCAUUAAGGUCUUACUCGCAAUAAUUUGUGCUCUGAUAUUGGCCGUACUGACUGCUGUUGAAAAAGCCACGCCAUCAGAUGCGCGUCGCAAUAGUCCACCCCAGUAGACCCCACUACG